This 465-nucleotide ribosomal RNA is filed under the name Vreelandella stevensii. RNAcentral's name for it is "partial 16S ribosomal RNA". It matches the Rfam family "Bacterial small subunit ribosomal RNA", at positions 338 to 795 of the family's 1533-position model. The record is from RNAcentral. Lineage: Bacteria; Pseudomonadati; Pseudomonadota; Gammaproteobacteria; Oceanospirillales; Halomonadaceae.
CCUACGGGAGGCAGCAGUGGGGAAUAUUGGACAAUGGGCGAAAGCCUGAUCCAGCCAUGCCGCGUGUGUGAAGAAGGCCUUCGGGUUGUAAAGCACUUUCAGUGGGGAAGAAAGCCUUGGGGCUAAUACCCUCGAGGAAGGACAUCACCCACAGAAGAAGCACCGGCUAACUCCGUGCCAGCAGCCGCGGUAAUACGGAGGGUGCGAGCGUUAAUCGGAAUUACUGGGCGUAAAGCGCGCGUAGGCGGUCUGAUAAGCCGGUUGUGAAAGCCCCGGGCUCAACCUGGGAACGGCAUCCGGAACUGUCAGGCUAGAGUGCAGGAGAGGAAGGUAGAAUGCACGGUGUAGCGGUGAAAUGCGUAGAGAUCGGGAGGAAUACCAGUGGCGAAGGCGGCCUUCUGGACUGACACUGACGCUGAGGUGCGAAAGCGUGGGUAGCAAACAGGAUUAGAUACCCUAGUAGUC